UGAGGCAUUUUCUAUGCUCGGAAGCUCUGCAAUCUGAUUUCUGCUCAACAAGAAACUGAAACAAGCUUCUAGGGGGAGCCGCGGGGCUGCUGCCGUUCGUCUCACAGCGAGCUUCUCCCGGCCCUGACUCCUGGGGAACUCCAAUCUCUGAACGCAGGGGCAGUUCCCGUGCCGUGCCAAGGUGCCGGGGUGGGGAGGCAACACAGCAACACGCGCCCAGCACCAGGCUGCCAGAUCAUCCAUUCUAACGACGGCAAAAAAAUCUUAAUGACUAUGACCUUAGCAGCACGGGGAGCUGAUUUCCCCCAAUUAUAAAUCCCGUUAGUUUGCGGUAAUGUGAGCAGUAACCAGACUUUGCCUGACACUGCGUGGUCCAAAAGAAUUAAGGAAAUAUGGAAUGACAUGAAGGAGAUUAGUUGAGGAUUAAAGGCUUUGAGGACAAAACACCUCGCCGAGGUGAAGCACAGACUAGCGUUCUAGUUGUAGCUCCAAG
This 493-nucleotide long non-coding RNA is filed under the name Chrysolophus pictus (golden pheasant). RNAcentral describes it as "lncRNA (ENSCPIG00010012787.1)". Lineage: Eukaryota; Metazoa; Chordata; Aves; Galliformes; Phasianidae. The record is from RNAcentral.